Salvelinus namaycush (lake trout) is the source of this 804-nucleotide long non-coding RNA. RefSeq lists it as uncharacterized. The record is from RefSeq and is a predicted model, not a curated record. The transcript has 2 exons. Lineage: Eukaryota; Metazoa; Chordata; Actinopteri; Salmoniformes; Salmonidae.
CAUGACUCCAGAAUCUUUCGGGCCUCUGAAAUCUAUCAGUGCCUAUCACAAGGUGAAUUCUCUGGUGUGUUGCUGGGAGACAGGGGGUAUGGCUGCCAGCCUUUUCUCCUGACACCUUUCACAGACCCCCAGGAAGCACAGCAGGCCUACAACCAUGCCCAUGCCAGGACCAGGGCCAUAGUUGAAAUGACCUUUGGCCUCCUGAAGGCACGCUUUCACUGCCUUCACAAAUUAAGGGUCAGCCCUGUUAGGGCAUGUGAUAUUACUGUGGCUUGUGCUGUCCUCCACAAUGUGGCCUGCCUGAGGAAGGAGAGGGCCCCCAGAGUGCCACCAGCCAUGGACUGGGACAAUCCGGCAAUCUUCCCUGAUGACGACAGUGGUCGGCUGCUGAGGGACCAAUAUGUGUUGAAUUAUUUUAGUUAGUAUGUGUGCUUUCAAUUUUGGUUAAAUAUGUCCUGCGGUGGCAGAGGAAUUUGUUUUUUUUUGGGUUCGUUUUUUUACGAAUUUGGCCUCUUAUGAUGUUUGUGCGGUAUACUGUGUGUAAUACAAGGCUGCAGGGAGGCUACUGCAUCCAUUCAUUUGUCUGUUCAGUUGAUGUGUAUGGAUUUGUCCUGCAUUUAUUUUAGUGUGCAGACAUGCAGGGUGUGUUAUAUACAGACCUUUGAAUGUGUAUGUAUCAUUUUGUAUAAUAUGCUUGGAUUCUGUGCUUUCCAUCUUGUAGAGUCACUGUGACUUCAGUUUCGAAAGGAGCUGAUGGUUUACCUGCUUUGUUUUGUCCUUAUUCAAUAAAGGAACAUAAUGUUA